This 482-nucleotide ribosomal RNA is filed under the name uncultured bacterium. RNAcentral's name for it is "bacterial SSU rRNA". It matches the Rfam family "Bacterial small subunit ribosomal RNA", at positions 29 to 506 of the family's 1533-position model. The record is from RNAcentral.
UUGAACGCUGGCGGCAUGCCUUACACAUGCAAGUCGAACGGUAACGCGGGGCAACCUGGCGACGAGUGGCGAACGGGUGAGUAAUGCAUCGGAACGUGCCCAGUAGUGGGGGAUAGCCCGGCGAAAGCCGGAUUAAUACCGCAUACGACCUACGGGUGAAAGCGGGGGACUCGCAAGAGCCUCGCGCUAUUGGAGCGGCCGAUGUCAGAUUAGGUAGUUGGUGGGGUAAAGGCCUACCAAGCCGACGAUCUGUAGCUGGUCUGAGAGGACGACCAGCCACACUGGGACUGAGACACGGCCCAGACUCCUACGGGAGGCAGCAGGGGGGAAUUUUGGACAAUGGGCGCAAGCCUGAUCCAGCCAUGCCGCGUGCGGGAAGAAGGCCUUCGGGUUGUAAACCGCUUUUGUCAGGGAAGAAACGCUCUGGGCUAAUACCCUGUGUGGAUGACGGUACCGGAAUAAGAAGCACCGGCUAACUACGU